RNAcentral lists this ribosomal RNA (436 nucleotides) under uncultured bacterium. Its description in RNAcentral is "partial 16S ribosomal RNA". It matches the Rfam family "Bacterial small subunit ribosomal RNA", at positions 29 to 507 of the family's 1533-position model. The record is from RNAcentral.
AACGAACGCUGGCGGCAUGCCUAACACAUGCAAGUCGAACGAGAUCCUUCGGGGUCUAGUGGCGCACGGGUGCGUAACGCGUGGGAAUCUGCCCUUAGGUUCGGAAUAACAGUUAGAGAUGACUGCUAAUACCGGAUGAUGACGUUAAGUCCAAAGAUUUAUCGCCUGAGGAUGAGCCCGCGUAGGAUUAGCUAGUUGGUGUGGUAAAGGCGCACCAAGGCGACGAUCCUUAGCUGGUCUGAGAGGAUGAUCAGCCACACUGGGACUGAGACCCGGCCCAGAACCCUACGGGACGCAGCAGUGGGGAAUAUUGGACAAUGGGCGCAAGCCUGAUCCAGCAAUGCCGCGUGAGUGAUGAAGGCCUUAGGGUUGUAAAGCUCUUUUACCCGGGAUGAUAAUGACGGUACCGGGAGAAUAAGCCCCGGCUAACUCCGUG